This is a long non-coding RNA of Suricata suricatta (meerkat), 1405 nucleotides long. RefSeq lists it as uncharacterized. The transcript is spliced from 7 exons. NCBI's taxonomy places the organism in Eukaryota, Metazoa, Chordata, Mammalia, Carnivora, Herpestidae. The record is from RefSeq and is a predicted model, not a curated record.
CUGUUUCAACCCCUGGUUUUGCCACUUUCUAGCUGGCUGAACUAGAGCAAGUGCAUGUCCAUCUGCACUAAGAAGCAAGGAACAAGGAGACUGUGCCUGGCAUCCUGGAAUGAGUCCCUCCGGAGGCAGGAUCCCCACGCCCAGCACAUACCCCGCAAGGGUUAAUCAGCCUUCCUGCCGGGCGGCUGGGCGGCUGGAAGGAGGCAGCAGGGCGGCCUGGCGGCAGGAGGCUUUCAUUACUUUGAUGGGAUCCAUGUGCUCGGCUUUAUCUCCGGCCCUUUCUCCGUAAUUCAGCGCUUGAACGUCUCAGCUGUCGGCCAGAUCUGCAGACAAUUGCUCGGGAGUUAGGAAGAUUGGCAAAGAGAAAGUGGAGGGGAACGUGCCCAUACCCUGGGAUCUGCGGGUUCACCGGCCCCUCUGCUCCCGCCCUCACCGGCUCUGCAGGGGCGUCUCCAGGACCGGGGGGCACCCGGGCUGCCUGGGUGCCCGUGGAGUGGGCGUGGCGCAGGGCUUCCUGGGAGGAAGGCCGUGGGACCCUGGGAAACCACAUCGCCACUCAUAACCUCAGUUGCUCACCACCUGUGAUGGCCCUGCACGAUGUCAGGCACACACAUCUCAGGACCCACCAGUUCAGAAUCCGUGUACACAAACGCUUGUAAAUGUGCCCUCGGAUAAUAGAUUUCAGCUCUCAGGGUCUGUGGCUGCCUGUUGGCCCCUCUCAAGAAACGCUGCCGUGUAGGGCUGUUUCAAGUGACCAGAGACAGUGAGGAUCAGAGCACUUUGUACCUGGACAAACGCCCUCCUUCUCCCCUCCCCCAUGCUUUGGGGGGGGGUCUGUUCUCAGUUUCCGGCCUGCACCUGCCUAGUCUGUGGUCCUUCUCCAAGAACCCAGAGAUGAGAUAGUCCGGCGUAAACACCGCCAACUCUGGCCCAGCAGAGAGGUUUGAACUGAGCCCUUCCGGAGUCAAAGGACAAAUAACGCCGUCUGAGUGAGGAUCCGCCCAGACUUGCUGACAGAGCACCGGUGUCAUUAGAGAAGAGCAUGGAAACGCCAAGGCUCGUCUCCAAUGGGCUGAAGCGAGCGCUGUGCUCACCAGCGUGAGCACAAGUCGUGCCCUCCGUCUCCGGGUCUUCCGAGGUACCAGGGACUUGGGCUUUGUCACUAGGCCAUUUUCUGCCAGCCGCCAUCCACGGAUAAGCUAAUGACAGCUCCCUGGAUGUGUCCUCCAGCGCAGGCCCCCAAGCCACCCAGACACCAGACACCGGCCUCAGCGUCCUCCUCAGCCCCGAGCCAGACCUGCCCUCACCAGCCGUCGCCUGUGGGGCCGUGCGGGGACCCUUUCUGCACACACGUGGCACCUGACAGAGCAUCCUCAGUUCACAUUAAGCAUGACAGCGAGACAUC